CUACUCCUGCUCACUAGGACUCUGAUCUAGUGAAUGUCCUGCCCUGCCCUGGCCCGCCAUGGCCACCAGGCUCCUCUGCUGGGCAGCCCUGUGUCUCCUGGGGGCAGAACUCAUAGCAGCUGGAGUCACCCAGUCCCCCAGACUAAAGAUUUCAGAAAAAGGACAGAUCAUAGCUUUUUGGUGUGACCCUAUUUCUGGCUACAAUACCUUGUACUGGUACCGGCAGAGACCGGGACAAGGGCCAGAGCUCCUGACUUACUUUCAGAAUGAGGCGAUGGUAGGUGAAUCUCUGUUGCCUAAAGAUCGAUUUUCUGCAGAGAGACCCAAGGGCGCAGACUCCACUCUGAAGAUCCUGCGGGCAGAGCUGGGGGACUCGGCUGUGUAUCUCUGUGCCAGCAGCUUAGCCACAGCAUCACAAGGACGCUCCCCACCUGUGCACAAAAUUAGAGACUUUUAUUUUGCUUCUGCCGAGUGUAUGGAAGUUUUAAAAACCUGGAGUUCCCCGAACAAGAAUUCAAGGCUUCAGGUCUCCUGGUCAUGUGGAGAACUGGUUUACCUCCAGCUCAUCAUCUAUAGGAGUUUGCCAGUGCUUGAGUUUGCUGUUCUGUUGUCUUUGACCUUGUCUCCCUGGCCUGGUGGUCAGCCCUAUGUGUACCAGGUCAUGUCAGGAUCAGCAAAUACACCCAAUGACUAG
Non-coding RNA from Tupaia belangeri chinensis (Chinese tree shrew), 694 nucleotides. The record is from the annotation of a RefSeq genome assembly. Lineage: Eukaryota; Metazoa; Chordata; Mammalia; Scandentia; Tupaiidae.